Molecule: long non-coding RNA, 223 nt
Filed under: Gallus gallus (chicken)
Lineage: Eukaryota; Metazoa; Chordata; Aves; Galliformes; Phasianidae
Source: RNAcentral
CUUCCAACUCAAACGAUUCUAUGAUUCUAUGAAAUACACUUCAAUGAGCUGCCUGGUUUUGUUGGAUAUGUCUUACAGAUGAAAGAAUUCACCAUCGCUAAAAGUCUCAGCAUGGUUUUCAACGGAGAUGUGAAAACUCUGAGCAUUUAGAGUGUGCAUCACCUAUGCUGGAAGAGCAGUUUUUUGCAUCAUGGAUGGGAAGUAAAAGCACCCAUUAGCAACU